Molecule: ribosomal RNA, 815 nt
Filed under: Nocardioides sp. CB 286531
Lineage: Bacteria; Bacillati; Actinomycetota; Actinomycetes; Propionibacteriales; Nocardioidaceae
Description: bacterial SSU rRNA
Rfam family: Bacterial small subunit ribosomal RNA
Source: RNAcentral
GUGGUACUCGAGCGGCGAACGGGUGAGUAACACGUGAGUAAUCUGCCCUUCACUCUGGGAUAGCCCUCCGAAAGGGGGAUUAAUACCGGAUACGACACGUCCCUGCAUGGGGGUGUGUGGAAACUUUUUUGGGUGGGGGAUGUGCUCGCGGCCUAUCAGCUUGUUGGUGGGGUAAUGGCCUACCAAGGCUUUGACGGGUAGCCGGCCUGAGAGGGUGACCGGCCACACUGGGACUGAGACACGGCCCAGACUCCUACGGGAGGCAGCAGUGGGGAAUAUUGGACAAUGGGCGGAAGCCUGAUCCAGCAACGCCGCGUGAGGGAUGACGGCCUUCGGGUUGUAAACCUCUUUCAGCACCGACGAAGCGCAAGUGACGGUAGGUGCAGAAGAAGGACCGGCCAACUACGUGCCAGCAGCCGCGGUAAUACGUAGGGUCCGAGCGUUGUCCGGAAUUAUUGGGCGUAAAGGGCUCGUAGGCGGUUUGUCGCGUCGGGAGUGAAAACACCGGGCUUAACUCGGUGCUUGCUUUCGAUACGGGCAGACUGGAGGUAUGCAGGGGAGAACGGAAUUCCUGGUGUAGCGGUGAAAUGCGCAGAUAUCAGGAGGAACACCGGUGGCGAAGGCGGUUCUCUGGGCAUGACCUGACGCUGAGGAGCGAAAGUGUGGGGAGCGAACAGGAUUAGAUACCCUGGUAGUCCACACCGUAAACGUUGGGCGCUAGGUGUGGGAUCCAUUCCACGGGUUCCGUGCCGUAGCUAACGCAUUAAGCGCCCCGCCUGGGGAGUACGGCCGCAAGGCUAAAACUCAAAGGAAUU